AAAGAGUUUAAAAGUUUGGGAAUCCCUUCUUCCCAAAUCAUUUCUAUUCUAUUUCUACUGGUGUUUAGACACACUUCAGUACAGCUGUAUGGAUGAAUGUUGGAUCACCAUAACUCACCAGAGACAAAAAACAAAACAAAAAACACCUACACUGAUCCUGAAACACAGGAAAACAUGCUGACACUUUAUAUGUGUGUGUGUGUGUGUGUGUGUGUGUGCGCACUGACCCCUGACCUCAAACGCUCAGCCCCACCCAUGACGCUGAUGCCCACUGAUGAUGUCACUCUUAUUUACACAUGGCGAAGGGGCCAAUUAAAACACGUGAUGAGGAACACAGAUGAUCUUCACAAACUCAUCAAUCUGAGGCAGCUCUCCCACAAUCCACCAGAAGUCAAAUAAAUGACCCUCAGUUCAUUACCAUCACACGUCAGUCCCAUCACGCCUGGAAAACAUCACGUUAAAUGAAGCUCACAGCUAAAUCACGGCAGGACGUUUAUAAAUGACAGACAUUAAAAUCAUCACCAGUAAAAAUACACAGAGACACAAACGGCUACAGAUGUGCGGGAAGCACUUUCAGGAUGAAAAUGUGAAAGAGAUUAAAAUAAAAAGCCAACAGAAAGAAACAACAAGCAGCGAAUCUGACCGGGACCGAAACACGCUCAGAGACCAGCUCUGAAACCGGCCAGAGGAUCUAAUCACACAAACAUGAGGAAGACCGCUGCUGCCGCCCAUGUGCUUCCACUGCUUCAUUAGCCACUGAUCAGCGCUCAGGAAUCUGGGCCGAAUAUCUCCCAGCACUCAACCUCACGUGCUGGAUCUCCAAGAACAUGAGGAGUCCAGGAUUCCUGUGCACUGACUCAGAGCAGACGAGGAAAACAUGCUCCGAAAACAAGAAAAAUAUGAGCGAGAGAGAGGUGGCCCUCUCCACUAAUUUGAUAUUUUCCUCACACCUCUCGCCUGAUUGGAAGCCGGUUAAAAUCCAGGACAUAUCCAGCCCAGAUGGUGGAUCAGCACCUAGAGAUGACCUCUACUGCCCUGAAAGACAGCAGAGACCAGGACAACUAGAGCCCCAGAUACAGAUCCCCUGUGAAGACCUCGUCACCUCGACGAGUAGAAGACCAUCAUUACAAGACCACAGGAACAAGACAAGUCUUCUGCUCAAUCUGAACUGUGCUGCAGUCUGUAAUUAAACCACACCAUGCUGGUCUGGCCAGAGCCUGGUUUCUCCCAGGGUUUUCCUCCAUUUCUGUCACAGAUGGAAUUUUGGUUUCUUGCUACUGUCGCCUUUGGCUUGCGUAGUUGGGGACGCUUGACUGAUUGCACAGACGCUAUCGGAAAAUAACUGAACUGGAUGACGACAUCACUGAAUCAUCAAUGAACUGACUUUAACUGGAAAAUGACUCUGUUAUUGUCUUCUUGAAUUACUGACAAUCUAUUUUGCUGUUUAACACUGUAAAGUUGCUUUUGUAAAAAGCGCUACAUAAACAAAGGUGUCUUGACUU
Molecule: long non-coding RNA, 1502 nt
Organism: Carassius auratus (goldfish)
Lineage: Eukaryota; Metazoa; Chordata; Actinopteri; Cypriniformes; Cyprinidae
Exons: 2
Source: RefSeq, a predicted model, not a curated record